RNAcentral lists this ribosomal RNA (253 nucleotides) under uncultured bacterium. RNAcentral's name for it is "partial 16S ribosomal RNA". It matches the Rfam family "Bacterial small subunit ribosomal RNA", at positions 524 to 776 of the family's 1533-position model. The record is from RNAcentral.
UACGAAGGGUGCAAGCGUUACUCGGAAUUACUGGGCGUAAAGCGCGCGUAGGUGGUUCGUUAAGUUGGAUGUGAAAUCCCCGGGCUCAACCUGGGAACUGCAUUCAAAACUGACGAGCUAGAGUAUGGUAGAGGGUGGUGGAAUUUCCUGUGUAGCGGUGAAAUGCGUAGAUAUAGGAAGGAACACCAGUGGCGAAGGCGACCACCUGGACUGAUACUGACACUGAGGUGCGAAAGCGUGGGGAGCAAACAGG